This 515-nucleotide ribosomal RNA is filed under the name uncultured bacterium. Its description in RNAcentral is "partial 16S ribosomal RNA". It matches the Rfam family "Bacterial small subunit ribosomal RNA", at positions 28 to 523 of the family's 1533-position model. The record is from RNAcentral.
GAUGAACGCUGGCGGCGUGCCUAAUACAUGCAAGUCGAGCGAAUGGAUUAAGAGCUUGCUCUUAUGAAGUUAGCGGCGGACGGGUGAGUAACACGUGGGUAACCUGCCCAUAAGACUGGGAUAACUCCGGGAAACCGGGGCUAAUACCGGAUAACAUUUUGAACCGCAUGGUUCGAAAUUGAAAGGCGGCUUCGGCUGUCACUUAUGGCUGGACCCGCGUCGCAUUAGCUAGUUGGUGAGGUAACGGCUCACCAAGGCAACGACGCGUAGCCGACCUGAGAGGGUGAUCGGCCACACUGGGACUGAGACACGGCCCAGACUCCUACGGGAGGCAGCAGUAGGGAAUCUUCCGCAAUGGACGAAAGUCUGACGGAGCAACGCCGCGUGAGUGAUGAAGGCUUUCGGGUCGUAAAACUCUGUUGUUAGGGAAGAACAAGUGCUAGUUGAAUAAGCUGGCACCUUGACGGUACCUAACCAGAAAGCCACGGCUAACUACGUGCCAGCCGCCGCGGUAA